Molecule: long non-coding RNA, 518 nt
Organism: Oncorhynchus keta (chum salmon)
Lineage: Eukaryota; Metazoa; Chordata; Actinopteri; Salmoniformes; Salmonidae
Exons: 3
Source: RefSeq, a predicted model, not a curated record
GAACAGUAUAGAGCUGCAAUACCAGAACAGCAUAGAGCUCCAAUACCAGAAUAGCAUAGAGCUCCAAUACCAGAACAGUAUAGAGGUCAAUACCAGAACAGUAUAGAGUUCAAUACCAGAGCAGCAUAGAGCUGCAAUACCAGAACAGCAUUGAGCUUCAAUACCAGAACAGUAUAGACUGCAAUACCAGAACAGCAUAGAGCUGCAAUACCAGAACAGCAUAGAGCUUCAAUACCAGAACAGCAUAGAGUUGCAAUACCAGAACAGUAUAGAGCUCCAAUACCAGAACAGUAUAGAGCUGCAAUACCAGAACAGCAUAGAGCUCCAAUACCAGAACAGCAUAGAGCUCCAAUACCAGAACAGUAUAGAGUCCCAAUACCAGAACAGCAUAGAGCUCCAAUACCAGAACAGCAUAGAGCUCCAAUACCAGAACAGUAUAGAGUUCCAAUACCAGAACAGUAUAGAGUCCCAAUACCAGAACAGUGUAGAGUUCCAAUACCAGAACAGUAUAGAGUUCC